AUUGAACGCUGGCGGCAGGCUUAACACAUGCAAGUCGAGCGAGCGGCGGACGGGUGAGUAAUGUCUGGGAAACUGCCUGAUGGAGGGGGAUAACUACUGGAAACGGUAGCUAAUACCGCAUACCAUCAGAUGUGCCCAGAGGGGAUUAGUUAGUAGGUGGGGUAAUGGCUCACCUAGGCGACGAUCCCUAGCUGGGCUGAGAGGAUGACCAGCCACACGGGAACUGAGACACGGUCCAGACUCCUACGGGAGGCAGCAGUGGGGAAUAUUGCACAAUGGGCGCAAGCCUGAUACAGCCAUGCCGCGUGUGUGAAGAAGGCCUUCGGGUUGUAAAGCACUUUAAGCGAGGAGGCGUUACUCGCAGAAGAAGCACCGGCUAACUCCGUGCCAGCAGCCGCGGUAAUUC
This 406-nucleotide ribosomal RNA is filed under the name uncultured bacterium. RNAcentral describes it as "partial 16S ribosomal RNA". It matches the Rfam family "Bacterial small subunit ribosomal RNA", at positions 30 to 526 of the family's 1533-position model. The record is from RNAcentral.